RNAcentral lists this ribosomal RNA (301 nucleotides) under uncultured bacterium. RNAcentral describes it as "partial 16S ribosomal RNA". It matches the Rfam family "Bacterial small subunit ribosomal RNA", at positions 509 to 807 of the family's 1533-position model. The record is from RNAcentral.
CAGCCGCCGCGGUAAUACGAAGGGUGCAAGCGUUAAUCGGAAUUACUGGGCGUAAAGCGUGCGUAGGCGGUUUGUUAAGUCUGCUGUGAAAUCCCCGGGCUCAACCUGGGAAUGGCAGUGGAUACUGGCAAGCUAGAGUGUGUCAGAGGAUGGUGGAAUUCCCGGUGUAGCGGUGAAAUGCGUAGAGAUCGGGAGGAACAUCAGUGGCGAAGGCGACCACCUGGACUAAUACUGACACUGAGGUGCGAAAGCGUGGGGAGCAAACAGGAUUAGAUACCCCCGUAGUCCCUGUCUCUUAUAC